CACAGGGAUUGCCCCAGUAACGGCGAGUGAAGCGGCAACAGCUCAAAUUUGAAAUCUGGCCCCCCCCGCGGGGCCCGAGUUGUAAUUUGCAGAGGAUGCUUUUGGCGCGGCGCCUUCCGAGUUCCCUGGAACGGGACGCCAUAGAGGGUGAGAGCCCCGUCUGGUCGGACGCCCAGCCUCUGUAAAGCUCCUUCGACGAGUCGAGUAGUUUGGGAAUGCUGCUCUAAAUGGGAGGUAUAUGUCUUCUAAAGCUAAAUACUGGCCAGAGACCGAUAGCGCACAAGUAGAGUGAUCGAAAGAUGAAAAGCACUUUGAAAAGAGGGUUAAACAGUACGUGAAAUUGUUGAAAGGGAAGCGCUUGUGACCAGACAUGGGGCGCGGCGAAUCAUCCGGCGUUCUCGCCGGUGCACUUCGCCGCGCCCGGGCCAGCAUCAGUUCGCGGCGGGGGACAAAGGCGCCGGGAACGUGGCUCCCCCGGGAGUGUUAUAGCCCGGCGCGCAAUGCCCCGCGGCGGACUGAGGUUCGCGCAUCCGCAAGGAUGCUGGCGUAAUGGUCACCAGUGACCCGUCUUGAAACACGGACCAAGGAGUCGUCCUCGUAUGCGAGUGUUCGGGUGUCAAACCCCUACGCGCAAUGAAAGUGAACGCAGGUGAGAGCCUCACGGCGCAUCAUCGACCGAUCCUGAUGUUCUCGGAUGGAUUUGAGUAAGAGCAUACGGGGCCGGACCCGAAAGAAGGUGAACUAUGCCUGUGUAGGGUGAAGCCAGAGGAAACUCUGGUGGAGGCUCGCAGCGGUUCUGACGUGCAAAUCGAUCGUCAAACAUGGGCAUGGGGGCGAAAGACUAAUCGAAC
Molecule: ribosomal RNA, 851 nt
Filed under: Hirsutella gigantea
Lineage: Eukaryota; Fungi; Ascomycota; Sordariomycetes; Hypocreales; Ophiocordycipitaceae
Description: eukaryotic LSU rRNA
Rfam family: Eukaryotic large subunit ribosomal RNA
Source: RNAcentral